UACGAGGGGGGCUAGCGUUGUUCGGAUUUACUGGGCGUAAAGCGCACGUAGGCGGAUCGUUAAGUCGAGGGUGAAAUCCUGGAGCUCAACUCCAGAACUGCCUUCGAUACUGGCGAUCUAGAGUCCGGAAGAGGUGAGUGGAACUCCUAGUGUAGAGGUGGAAUUCGUAGAUAUUAGGAGGAACACCAGUGGCGAAGGCGGCUCACUGGACCGGUACUGACGCUGAGGCGCGAAAGCGUGGGGAGCAAACAGG
RNAcentral lists this ribosomal RNA (253 nucleotides) under uncultured bacterium. RNAcentral describes it as "partial 16S ribosomal RNA". It matches the Rfam family "Bacterial small subunit ribosomal RNA", at positions 524 to 776 of the family's 1533-position model. The record is from RNAcentral.